Molecule: transfer RNA, 69 nt
Filed under: Sphaerodactylus townsendi
Lineage: Eukaryota; Metazoa; Chordata; Lepidosauria; Squamata; Sphaerodactylidae
Description: tRNA-Ala
Source: RNAcentral
CUGUGGCUCAGUGGUAGAGCAUCUUUUUUGCACGUGGAAGAUCCUUGGUUCAAUAUCUGAGCAAAAGGA